Molecule: ribosomal RNA, 252 nt
Filed under: uncultured bacterium
Lineage: Bacteria
Description: partial 16S ribosomal RNA
Rfam family: Bacterial small subunit ribosomal RNA
Source: RNAcentral
UACGUAGGGGGCAAGCGUUGUCCGGAUUUAUUGGGCGUAAAGAGCGUGUAGGCGGCUUGGUAGGUCUCGCGUCAAAACCUGAGGCUCAACCUCAGUUCGCGUGGGAAACCCCCUGACUAGAGUCCGGAAGAGGAGAGUGGAAUUCCUGGUGUAGCGGUGAAAUGCGCAGAUAUCAGGAAGAACACCCGUGGCUAAGGCGGCUCUCUAGUACGGUACUGACGCUGAGACGCGAAAGCGUGGGGAGCGAACAGG